Hypanus sabinus (Atlantic stingray) is the source of this 9591-nucleotide long non-coding RNA. RefSeq lists it as uncharacterized. The transcript has 3 exons. The record is from RefSeq and is a predicted model, not a curated record. Lineage: Eukaryota; Metazoa; Chordata; Chondrichthyes; Myliobatiformes; Dasyatidae.
UAAAGUAAUGCAAUAAGUUAAUCGGACAAAGAUUUCAAAUUAUAAGCACAUCAAUCAUAAGCAAUGUCACGAGCUGCAGUUGGACGGAACGCUAUAAAUUACUGUUUUUCUCUAGGCCGGAUGAGCAUUGAUCUAAACAGCACAUUCCGAGGUAACUCAUACCGGAUUCCAGCAUCCCCUAAAAAAACCGUUUUUGCUCGUUUCCGGGUUUCACAUUUUGGAGUUAUUGAGCAUUCCAGGUCUGUGAGCAGGCUCUUUGCUUUUGGCCCAGUGGCUACAUGACGUUGAGGAGAUUGGCGACGCGAAGUCUGCGAUUCAAAACCAAGCGAACUUCUUUCCACAUCAUCGCAAAACAAUACAAAAUCUGGUGUUUGAACAGGAAAUGUCAAGUAACCGUAAAUUUAAUAGGGCUUAUCUCAGUAAACCCUGUACCGUUCUGGGGGAAGGUGUGAAGAUGACAUGUGUAACCGGUAUGUUCAGUCCAUUUCUAUACAUCCUUCUUCUGCAUCGUAUAUUGCAGGUAUUUCUGUAAAGCACGUGUACACAUGUUGGGACAAGAAUCGUUCAGCACAAUAUAAAUACUUGUAUUCCGUGAGAGAGGCCAGUUUACCGCCUACCACUUGAUACCACGGGCAGCUUGUUCAAAUUAUAUUUUCCCCUCAAAAAAAUUGUGAAUGUCGUACUUUGGUUACCUUAUCUUUCUUGCUGAACAAAAGCUUUGUUCAGAGAAGGUUAUGGGAAGAGUCGAUGGGGCUGUUUACAACUACAAAGGGUUUCGAGUAAUGAAAUGACACUUGUGGCUGGAGAGAGACUCCGUGGCCAGAGGGCACAGAUACAGGGUGAGCGGCGUGAAAACAAAGGAACAAAUGACUCCGCACCACCUUAGGAAUUGGGAUUGGAAUUUACUGUCAAGUAAUGUGAUGGAAAAUUAAUUCAAGAGGGAUUGGAUUACCAACCCAUGCUUAAAAUUUUAUAGUCCAUCUAUAUUCCUUCAAGGCUAGAAAUAUAAAUUAAAUUACUCUUCACAAAACUACAAGUUAUUACACCCACACUUUCAAAAAUUUAUAUAAAAAUUACAUUUCAGCAUUACUUUACCAGGAAAGUCAAAUCAGACCAAUUACUUUUCAUGUAGGGUUUAAUAAAUUGUGGCAAGCAAUAUAAACUAGAUGGUAAUAUAUUGGAUUUUGGGGUGUAUAUGAAAUAAUUUCAUGCAGCUGUGUCUUAAUGGAACACUUUACGGUGAAUGCCUCAUCUGCUAAGUGUGUGGCAAGGCAUACAUGGAGUGACUUUUCCUUGUCAUUGUUUAAGAUGGUUUACUUUAAAAAGUGUUCCAAAUGAAGAUCUCUUGUUUCUUAGAUUUAUCUAAACUGUUGAAUAAAAUUAUUGAAAUUCUGUAUAAACCACAUUAAUAGGAAACAAUUAGAUGCAGAAUCUAAAUAAAAAUAAGAAUAUAUAUACACUGCAGGAAGAGCUUAGCCAGACGGGCAGCAUUUGUAGAAAUAGAAACCAGUCAAUCUCCCAGGUUGAGGACCCUGAAAUAAGGAAAGCAGCAGCCGGGGAGGGCUUUCUUUCUGCAGACAUUGUUUCACUGGCUGAGUUAUCCAAUGUUCUGUACUUGACCGACAUUAAUUGCCACUACCAUUAAAAAUAUAGGUAGACGUUAAUAAAGCAGAAAAAUGGGUGUGUAACUGAUACAUUAACGUAGAUAAGCAUGAGAUUUUGGUUAUGAAAUUUCCGUGAGUUUUGAAGUGUAAGAAUAAAACAGAAGGACAAACAGGUUUGGGAAUCACUGCCUCUCCUUUUCAGUGACCUAGGCUACAUCCACGCUGCGCCGGAUAAAUCCGUAACCUAAGUUUUUUCGCUUCAUUUUUACCCUCUGUCCACAGUAAAACGGCAUUUUCAUCCCCCGAAACCAGAGCUUUUCAGAAACGCUUUCCAGAGUGGGUAUUUUCAGGCAGGUCAGUGUGGACGGGGUAACCAGAGAAAUCAGAAAACGCUGUCAGACAGCAGCACGCUAUUUCAUUGUUUUCUUGAAUGUAUGCUAACAAUUUCAGAACAGACGGCAACAAGACUGAAGCCAGAAGAGUUAGAAAUGUACUCACCAAAUACUUUGACCCAUAACUUAAUAAAUAAGUAUACUGUACUCACUUUGCCCUGUUUUCUGGCCUUGCUCGUAUAAAGGUGGUUUACCUAUUCAUGCAAGCACUUCUCUUGACAAUAGAUGUGUAACAGCCUAAUGUAACAUUGUAUGGAAAUACAAGAUAAUACUGAUGCAGACAUGUUUUACACAUUUAACAAGAUGCUUUAUUAAUGCAACAAAGUUAGUCAGUUUUUCAGUGUUCGUCGUCAGCCGGGUCAAUCUGUCCGUGAACUCCCUGGCGGUUGCCUCCAUAUGCUCCAGUAUUUGUUUUUUUUACUUUUAAAUUCUCCUGCAUGAGAGCCAACAGCUGCCCAUUGUUUAAGUUUUUCUAGUCUGUAACUGAACAAACACGCACCAUCUUUCACGGUGAGAUUCAACACCAAACAUGUCAUUUGUUUGUGGUAGAUGUGUCCUGCACAUGCGCAGUAGGAGGAGAUUCAACGAAAUCUCCGUUUCAAUGUGGACAGAGAUAUUUUUUAAAAUGCAUAGUGCCUAUCAUUUUACGUGAAACUGGUGUUUUCAAAAUUAUCCGGUCUAGUGUGGAUGUAGCCCCAGUUUGAAUCCUAACCUCCGGAGCUAUUGUCAGGAAUUUGCAUAUUUUCCCUGUGACUGCAUGGGUUUCCUCAGACACUGUGAAGAAAUCCCACAUCCCAAAGUCAUGUGGAUUGGUAGGUAAGUUGGUCAUUGUAUGUGCUCAAUGAUUCAUCUGAUGAAGGUAAGCAUUCCAUACGCCUUCUACUGUCUACGUGUGCUACCUUCAGGGAGCAAUAUCAAUAUCAAUGCUGAUAAAACACUAUAUCCUUUCCCAUUAUAUUAACCACCCAAAUUGCAGCACCUCAUAUUUCAAAGUUCAAAGUAAAUUUAUUAUCAAAAUAUAUAACAUAUAUGUCACAAUAUACUACCUUGAGAUAUGUUUUCUUGCAGGCAUUCACAGUAGAACAAAGAAAUAAAUAGAAAAACUACACACAAACAAAGACUGACAAACAACCAAUGUGCAUAAGAAGUCAAAUUGUGCUAAUAAAUAUAUAAUAUUGAGAACGUGACUUGUAGAGUCCUUGAAAGCGAGUCCAUAGGUUAUGGAAUCAGUUCUGUGUUGAAGUGAGUGAAGUUAUCCCCUCUGGUUCAAGAGCCUGAUGAUGAGGGUAUUGAUGAUAGAUGCUACUUCCUUGUAGUAGUGCUCCUUAUAGAUGUGAUUAAUGGUGGGGAGCACUUUGUCAGUGAUGGACUAGGCUGUGUCCACCAUUUUUUAAAUUGGCUUUUCCAUUCUUGGUCUUUGGUGUUUCCAUACCAGGCUGUGAUGUGUGAGGCGCUGUCAUGUCCGCCUUGCGGUGUCACUUAUGCUGGUGCCAGGACAGAUCCUCUGAUAUAAUAACACCACUGAAUUUAAAGUUACCAGCUCUCUCCAAAAAGCAAAAUUAAAUAUGGCCCUGGAGUCUGAAUUAUAAAGCAAGUAGAGCAGAGGCCUAUGCACACAGCCUCGUGGUGCACCUAUGCUGAUAGUGAUUCUGGAGGAGACGUUGCCAAUCUGUCCUGAUUAAAGUCUGCAAGUGAGAAAAUCAAGGAUCCAGUUGCACAAGGAUGUACUGUAGCGAUGUACUACAUACAGAGCUAGAAACAAGUGGGUCGCCACAGUACUACGGUCCAGGUGUUGGACUUUAGUGAUUAGUUUCAAAGGGAUGAUAGUGCUGAACGCUGAGUUGUCGUCAAUGGAGAGCAGCCUAUGUUGUAUACAUCUUCACUGUCCAGAUGUUCCAGAGCUGAGUGAAGAGCCAAUAAGCAAAGAGCAUCUGCUCUUGACCUGUUGUGAUCGUAGGCAAACUGGAAUGGAUUCAAGUUGCUCCUCAUGCAGGAGUUGAUGUGCUUUAUGACCAACCUUUCCAAACACUUCAUCAUAGUGGAUGUAAGUGCAACUAGAUGAUAAUCAUUGAGGCAGGUUACCCCAUUCUUCUUGGGCAUUGGUAUAAUUGAGGCCUGCUUGAAGCAAGUGGGUAGCAGACUGCUGAAGUGAGAGGUUAAAGUUAUUGGUGAGUAAUCCACCCAGUUGAUUAGCACGUCUUUAGUACUUGGCCAGAUUACCCAUCUGAACCAGAUGUUUUCCAUGGGUUUACCCUCCUGAAUGAUGCUCUUAAGUUGGCCUCAAAGACUCAGAUCGUUGGGGGCUGUGGGAGUUCAUUAAGGUUCCUCCAUGUUCUGUUGGUCAAAGAGAGCAUCUGGCAGUGAAACCUUGUUGUCAUUUAUGUUGCUUGGUUUUGCUUCAUAGGGGAUGAUGGCAUUCAAGCCCUGCCAUAGCUUUCAAGCAUCUUUCUGUGAUUCAAAUUUGUCUACAAUUGCCACUUCAUGUGAGAUUUAUGGAGGUCAUACCUGGACAACUUGUACUUUUUUGGAUCACCAGUGCCGAACGCUACUGAUCUAGAAUCAUCCAGGUUCAUCCAGGGGUUCAGGUUAGGGAAGGGUGAAUGAUUUUGUAGGGACACAGUCAUCAAGUCCAAGACAACUGUGGUGUGUUUCUUCAGGUCACCUGAUGAGCCCAGUCCAUUGACUUGAAGCAACCUUGUAGCUAUUCCUCUGCCUCCUGUAGCCCAUAUCAGAUUAAACUCCAUCCAUGUCUGCAGCUGAUCUACAUACUGCUUUGACACCCACUUCAUUAUUUUCAUUUACAUCCAAGUCAUUUGUGUAUUUUAUUCAUUCUUCAAAACCUACAGAUUCCAGAGGGAGUGUCUCACAGUGCAGUUUUGCAAACAAUAAGCUAGUCUGUGCAGAAAUCUUGAAGCAUUCCCAACUUUCUGUAAAUUUCUACAACUUUAACCAGCUUUAAAAAAUAUCAAACACUUGCAGAGUAAACUAUCAGAAGAAAUCAGCAACUAACCUGCAUGUCACAAUUAAUCUAUUUAAAGAGCAUAUGGGUGGCUCUUUCCUGUUGCUGAAUGCUGUUCUUAGUCAAACGUUUUUAAGAGAAGAUGAGUAAUUUGAGUAAUCUGCUGGUAUUGAAUCAAUUUGCAAGCAGUUACAAUCCACUUAUCCUGCAGGUAUUAGCUGUACAUUCACAAAUGAUGGGUACAAUCAACUGGAAUUUCACACUGCUUUCUGAAAAUUAAAAAUGCUGUAGAAAUUCUGGAGAAGGUACAAAAGAUAUUUAUUAGAGUGGCUUAUCAGAACAAUGAUUUACCGGGAAAGAUUAAACAUUUCCAAAGGAGUGAGACAAGAAUUGAUAAAGGAUUAGAUGUUUCAAUUUGUGUUUAGAGAAGAGAUGGGGUUUAUGUUAGGAGUCAAUAAUACAACAUAGUCAUUAAAACCAACAGAAAGUUCAAGAGAAUGUGAAUGUUGCUACCUCAGGUAAAAGCUGUGACACAUAUAAUAGCUGUAUACAUAUGUAUAUAUAUAUUUAGAAAAAUGUUUUAUAUUUAUUAUUUAUGCUUAAUUGCUAUUGAAUGUUAGAAUAUUGUUAAGAGUCAGAUAUAUAGAGAGGUCUGAGUAAUAAGUAAGAAAUGCAAACACAAAUAUGGAGAUGGGUAUCCAUGAAGAACAGUUGGAAAAAGCACAUGAGACUGGAAUUUCUGGGCUCUGCAAGUACUAAGUAAUGCUGUAACAAUAAUGGUAGGCAGAAAAAAUGUAUUUGUCUAGACAGACCUAAUGUCAGAUCAAAUAAUAAGAGUCAUGCCACAGUAAUUAUACUAAGUGGCACAGCAUUCCGUUUCUUAUUUACAGCCUUACUGAUGCUCUUCAUUUAAUCAGCAGUGACGAACUUGAGUAGGCACGUGAAUUCAAGUCCGAGGUCUGUCAGAGGCACAGGCCCUAAAAGAUAUCAUUUCAAAAUGCAAAAAUGAACAUUAAAUUUUUAUUAUGAAUGCUGUGACUUUGAAUGAGUCACACAGAGACGGUGGAUGUAAACAACGACAAGUAGGAAUUCUGGACGGUUCUCUCUGACUCAUACGAUGAGGAUUUAUGGAGACACAAGGCACUGUGAAUACAGGAAUUUUGAGCAUAAGAUAAAUACUAACAAUCGGCCAAGACCAAGUCCAGACUAAGCUUGUGCUUUACGGAGCAAUCUGUCCACAGCAGCCAUCUUGAGCUUCUGUUUACAUGUUAUUUCUCAUCCCCAUUCCCAAAAUGACCUGUCUAUCUUCAGUCUUCUCCACUGCCAUGGCAAAGCCAAAUGCAAACUAGAACAACAGCUGUGUGGGUAGUUUACAGCUUAAUGGUAUAAACUGAUCCUUUUCAGUUUCAGUUAGCCCACUCUGUCCUAAAUAUACUUCCCUGAAUCUUGUUAUGUCCCCUAGUUCUAGUCUCACCUACCAGUGGAAACAACUUUUUUGCCUCUAUCUUAUCUCUCCCUUUCAUAAUUGUGUAUGUUUCUAUAAAAUCUCUCAUUCUUAUGAAGUCCAGUGAGUACAGUCCCAGGUGAUUCAAUCUCUCCUCAUAGUCUAACCCCCUCAUCUCUGGAAUCAACCUGGUGAACCUCCUCUACUGCCUCCAUCCUUCUUAACUCCAUUCUCCCACUUUAUUCUAUUUGCCCAUCAAUCCUACCUCCAAUUUCCUUCCAGACUCUGUCUCACCCAUUCCUCACACUCCUAUAUAUUGGCGAUGAGAGGGCUUACAGGAGUGAAGUAUAUCGGUUGGUUGAGUGGUAUCAUAACAAUACCGUCAUACUCGGUAUCAACAAGACCAAUUGGCGACUUCAGGAAGGGGAAGUUGGGAGAAGGUGUGAGAGGCCAGUACAGACCAGGUGAGCAGCUUCUACUUUCUGCCUCUUGGAGGAUAUAUCGUGAGCCCAGUGUAUUGAAGCAAGCAUGAAAAGGGUACGCCAGCAGCUCCAUUUCAUUAGGAGUUUGAGGAGAUUUGGUAUGUCAUUGCAGACUGUUUUGGGGAGAAUGUUCUGACUGGUUGCUUCACAGCCUGGCACGCAGCCUCCAAUGCACAGGAUCACAAAAGGCUGUACAGGGUUGUGGGCUUGGGCAGUUCCACCACAGACACAAGCCUCCCUACCAUCAGAUACCAGCAAAGGACUUUGCCUCAAGAAGGCAGUGUCCAUCAUUAAGGAUCCUCAUCAUCUGGGACAUGCCCUCUUCUCACUACUACCAUCAGGAAGGAGGUACAGGAGCCUGGAAACCUACUUUCAACGAUUCAGUAAUUUGUUCCCCUUUUAUACCAGGUUUCUGAACUUUACAUGAGCACUAUCUGGUUUAUUUUUGUACGACUUAUUAUUACUAAUAAAUUGUUAUGUAUUAUAGAUUUUUAUGUCUUUGUACUGUACUACUGCCGUAAAUGAGAAAUUUCACAUCAUGUCAGUGAGAAAUCUGCUUCGGAUUCCAGUUGACUGUUGUCCCAGUACAUUUUGGUGUUCAGGAUCACAAUCAGACCCGAAACUUUAACCAUCCCUUUUCCUCCACAGAUAAUGUUCAACUCGAUGUUCCUUCUGCAGAUGAAGUUUUAUACUCUUUAAGCAGGUGAUUAGGUUCAGUUUAAAUAUUAGAAUCAGAUAGUUUACUUCAACAUUUUGGGUGUACAUAGGUAAUACUGUUAAAUUUAUGUAGAUCUUAUGGACUACUACAUGUUUCCAAUGGGAGUACAUUUUAACUGGCAAGAUGCCUUUGCAUACAGCUGUGGAUAGUUCAGCGGGCUCUGAGCACAACACCUAGACACAAAAAUAGUUCUUCAUCAAGGGGUCGUUCCUGAUAUAUAAAGAGCUCAAAUAAUGAUGCCCAGCACUGAUAUAGUUUUAACAAUGGGUUAAAUUACAGGAUGACCAUUUAAUCCCUUCCCUGAUCUCAUCCUGGGAAGCUUCAAUGUGGGCUGAUUAACAAACAUUCAUCUAUUGUUUCAACCUGCAUAAUUUACAAUUGUGUAAAACCAGAAUGUCCCACGCCCAAUGGCAAGUUUCAAUGUCCUGGAUGUUACGUGUGAACAGUUUUGUUUUGAAGACUGGUCCUUAUUUAUAUUAAAGGCAGCUUUCCACAUUAUCCCUGAUUAAAAUUGACAUCAAGUCCCUAACAGAAUAUCAAAUUCUUGCAAUUCAUCAAUUAGAAAAGAUUUUCAGCAUGUAUUUUUGUUUUUAUUAUUCAUGGCUGCUCAAUUUUAUUGGCAGCCUUUGAGCUGCAUUUCAACCUGGUUAACUUUGAUGGUUAAAUUCUCAAAGGCACAUUUCUAAUCUUCACCAUGAUGACUUAUUGCUGUUUUGUAGGCAUGAUUUUUUUUUGUCAUGCAAGAAAAACAUGCAACUGAAGUGUAAAAUCUGAGAUUUCACACAAUUUGAUAUAUUCUGCUGCUUGUCAUGGUUUGUAUUAUGGUUAGCAUUUAAAUUUGAUUGUAGUCAGUAGACUUCCCUUGCUUUUUUAUAUUCAAGCUAAUAAAGAGCAUACUAUAGUUCAUUUGAACAAGAUUCUAGGUUCUGCUCACAGAGUGAUUUAGCACAAGUAGAUAAGUAACACACAUAAAACGCUGGAGGUACUUAACAUCUGCAGAGGGAAAUAAACAGUGAAUGUUUAGGACAGAGACCCUUCAUCAGGAUGUUUCAGUCUGAUAAGUCAACUGCCUUUUCCCCUCCGUAGAUAGUGUCUGACCUACUGUGUUCCUCCAGCAUUUUGUGCAUAUUGUCCAGGGUUUCCAGCAUCUGUAGAAACCUUGUCUCAGAAGAAUGCAAGGUUACUUGCAUUGAUCAGUUGUAGGUGAGAAUGUUUCACAAAUAAACCCCUUUACAAAGAAACUGCUUACUUUUUUUUAUUUUUAAUGACAAAUGCCGUUUCAAAGUUCAGAGUAAAUUCAUAUAUGUCGCAAUAUGCAAACCUGAGAUAAAAAACCAUAACAAAAUCAAUGAGAAAUGCACUAACUUCAGCGUUCAACCAGUGUACAAAAGUCAACAAACUGUUUACAAAAAGGAAUAAUGAAUAAAUAAGGAAUACAUAUAAAAGAAGCAAUUAUACAGUAAUGGGGACUCCACCCAAUCGAGUAGGAAUAUGAGAAAAAGCAGCGAUUUCAUUUAGGUCCGCAGAUGAAGUUUUAGAAAAAGACACUACUUUGCGGCAGUUUUCAGAGUUAGACUGCGACCAAUCACUGAACAGGAUUCAUUAGUAAAGGCAAAUAAGAUAAGGCAAGGGAAAGCAGAGCAGGCAUUUUGUGAGUGGGCCAGUGUUGGAGUGGCUUUGGCUCAUCAGGAUUGGGGAAGGUAAGUUUUUUUCCCUCUUUAUUUUUCCUUCCUCAUCUGUUAGUGCACAGUGAAUGCAGUGAGAAUGGCUCCAGCUGUGCUUUGUUCCGUGUGUGAGAUUUGGCAAUCCUGGGAGACCUCUAGUCUCCCUCAUCUGCACCAUGUGCACUGGGCUGCUUCUCAGAGAAUAUGUUGAAGAACUGGAGCUGCAACUUGACUCAUACAGGAGAUUGAGAAAGUGAUAAGAUAGAAGCUAUAGGUAGAUAGUCACUCCUAGGUUGUAGAAGGUAGGGAACUGGGUGACUGUCAGGAA